This 345-nucleotide unclassified non-coding RNA is filed under the name soil metagenome. RNAcentral describes it as "partial contains 5.8S ribosomal RNA, internal transcribed spacer 2, and large subunit ribosomal RNA". The stretch from base 1 to 120 matches the Rfam family "5.8S ribosomal RNA", at positions 35 to 154 of the family's 154-position model. The record is from RNAcentral.
GAUGAAGAACGCAGCGAAAUACGAUACGUAAUGUGAAUUGCAGAAUUCAGUGAAUCAUCGAGUCUUUGAACGCACAUUGCGCCCCCUGGUAUUCCGGGGGGCAUGUCUGUCCGAGCGUCAUUGCUGCCCUCAAGCACGGCUUGUGUGUUGGGCCUCCGUCCUCCUCCCGGGGGACGGGCCCGAAAGGCAGCGGCGGCACCGCGUCCGGUCCUCGAGCGUAUGGGGCUUCGUCACCCGCUCUUGUAGGCCCGGCCGGCGCUUGCCGACACAUCAAUCUUUUUUCCAGGUUGACCUCGGAUCAGGUAGGGAUACCCGCUGAACUUAAGCAUAUCAAUAAGCGGAGGA